CGCAUGAAUUAUUUGAUUCUCUUCGGAGUUGACGAUAAUGGAAUGAGCGGCGGACGGGUGAGUAACACGUAGGCAACCUGCCUGUAAGACUGGGAUAACUCGUGGAAACGCGAGCUAAUACCGGAUAACACUUUUCAUCUCCUGAUGAGAAGUUGAAAGGCGGCUUUUGCUGUCACUUACAGAUGGGCCUGCGGCGCAUUAGCUAGUUGGUAAGGUAACGGCUUACCAAGGCGACGAUGCGUAGCCGACCUGAGAGGGUGAUCGGCCACACUGGGACUGAGACACGGCCCAGACUCCUACGGGAGGCAGCAGUAGGGAAUCUUCCGCAAUGGACGAAAGUCUGACGGAGCAACGCCGCGUGAGUGAUGAAGGUUUUCGGAUCGUAAAACUCUGUUGUUAGGGAAGAACAAGUACUAUAGUAACUGAUAGUACCUUGACGGUACCUAACCAGAAAGCCACGGCUAACUACGUGCCAGCAGCCGCGGUAAUACGUAGGUGGCAAGCGUUGUCCGGAAUUAUUGGGCGUAAAGCGCUCGCAGGCGGUUCUUUAAGUCUGAUGUGAAAUCUUACGGCUCAACCGUAAACGUGCAUUGGAAACUGGGGAACUUGAGUGCAGAAGAGGAGAGUGGAAUUCCACGUGUAGCGGUGAAAUGCGUAGAGAUGUGGAGGAACACCAGUGGCGAAGGCGACUCUCUGGUCUGUAACUGACGCUGAGGAGCGAAAGCGUGGGGAGCGAACAGGAUUAGAUACCCUGGUAGUCCACGCCGUAAACGAUGAGUGCUAGGUGUUAGGGGGUUUCCGCCCCUUAGUGCUGAAGUUAACGCAUUAAGCACUCCGCCUGGGGAGUACGGCCGCAAGGCUGAAACUCAAAAGAAUUGACGGGGGCC
RNAcentral lists this ribosomal RNA (887 nucleotides) under Oceanobacillus iheyensis. Its description in RNAcentral is "bacterial SSU rRNA". It matches the Rfam family "Bacterial small subunit ribosomal RNA", at positions 56 to 921 of the family's 1533-position model. The record is from RNAcentral. Lineage: Bacteria; Bacillati; Bacillota; Bacilli; Caryophanales; Bacillaceae.